GAUCAUUCAUUUGAAAUCCCAAAAACAUACAAAUUCAUCCAAGCACUGCCAAUCAGAGAUUAUAGAGGCUAGAUGGUGGCAUAGAAUUUGCAGGUUAAACAAUAUCAAGAGUUUGAUAGGUCAAAUCCAGGCCUAGACUGCUCAGUACGUAAUUAUUGACUACUCAGACAAUGUUAGCUGAACUGAUUGAUUUAACUGCUAGUAGAUGAAUCAUAAAUAUUGCAAGAAUGACUUGGUGGUCUAACAAAGGGAAGAAAAAUUGCAUCCCUGACUUUAUAUGAAUAACAAAAUGACUAAAACUAAGGUAACUAAACAACAGAAUUGACACUCUAAAGCAAAUAAUAAAAAAGUAAAGAGCAUACUGAAAACUAUUUAUACUGUAACUAUGUAUGAAUCUUGCAUGUAGCAGAUUGCAAUGCCAACAUGUCCUGCUCAUUUUGAUAGGAAAGAGUUAAUAGCAUGAAGCUGGU
This 470-nucleotide unclassified non-coding RNA is filed under the name Hevea brasiliensis (rubber tree). Lineage: Eukaryota; Viridiplantae; Streptophyta; Magnoliopsida; Malpighiales; Euphorbiaceae. The record is from RNAcentral.